Molecule: long non-coding RNA, 651 nt
Organism: Onychostruthus taczanowskii (white-rumped snowfinch)
Lineage: Eukaryota; Metazoa; Chordata; Aves; Passeriformes; Passeridae
Exons: 3
Source: RefSeq, a predicted model, not a curated record
AUUAUAUGGAAUUAUGAUGACUGGUUUGUUUUGUGCUCCUUUUCCAAUGCCUUCUGAUCAUUCUGUUUGGCUUUUGUCUUCUCCUGAGCUCCAGUACCUGUCAAGAGACCAUUUGUGAUUGGCAAAAGAUAACAGGAGAUAAGUAUGAAAGAACAGAGAAGAGGAUUCAAAACAAAGCAGUGAUCAUGGACACUGAUAGUCCAGAAGUCAAGUUUUUGUUCAGUUAUGUUUUCUGCACACAAGGAUUCUCACCCUCUCAACAGAAAGCGCAGCUAGACCCAUCAGAUGGCACUCCUACAAGGGAUUUCUGAGCCUCCCUCCGCCCUGUCCAUUUCCCCCCUGCCAAGCAGGGUGGUGUGACAGAGGCAGCUCCAAGGACAAGUCAUUUAUUUCUCUGCACUGUCUGGCCCCGCCACACCCGGCUCUGGGACAGAGGGCCCCUGCAGCAACUUUAUUUGUAGCCUUUCCUUCGCUGAAGUCAAUGACAAAGAUGGCUGGCAAAUCCGAGGCUCUGUUGCUUCUCAUUCCCAGCAAGCCAUGAAGUGCUCAGUGGUACGUGGCUCAGUGAAGCAAUCGAGUUUUCAGAGAGUGCUGUGUGUGAUUUUUAAUUCUUUAACCCUGCAGUUUUCUAAGCUGUGGUUCAGUACUAAA